GUUAAGCCAUAAGAGCAUGCAGCACAUAGUUGUAUUUAUUUCCAUAGAUAGAAUCAAUUUAUGAUGACACAUUUAAAGUGAUUUGUUUGCAUUUUAGUGACAUAGGUACCAUUACCCAGACCAGCACGCCCAGGUAGGACCCACAUAUGUUUCAAGGUGGGCUUCCUACAUGGGAAGUUCGUGGGAUACACUUGGUUCCCACUUGGGCUGUCCAUGUGGGUACUGACUGGGCGCUAGGUGGGUAGUUUUUUUGUUUGUAUGUGUUUGUUUGUUUUUGUUUGUUUGUUUGUGCUUUUAAAUUCCAUCACCAUCAUCAAGUUGCUUUGGGUCAAAAAGAAUUGGCAUGCAGUUCAUUUUGUGAAAUUCGGGAAUAUUGUUAGCCAAUGUCAGAUAACAACUGCCUGUGGCAUUAGUUAACCUUUCACUGAUGUUUUGUUGGCACAAACAGCAUAAUUCCCAAUUGGUUGGACUAGAUACAGGCCUACUAUCUGCCUGUGAUGAAGGCGUGGAGUGUAUUUCUGUCUGUGUGUCAAUUGCUGUUGUCUAGGCCGGGGGAUUAUCCUUAUAUACCACCUAUUAAAGACAACUUACUGUACUACUCUACACUAAAAAGUAUGGGAUACAACUGGGCUCAGAUAAUAACAAGAUCACUACCCUACCCCCAGCCCGAUCAUUCAUCCAAUGCUAUUUAAUUCCUGUGUGAGCUGUACACCUUCCAGAAGACUAAAGCCCCAUCUUCCUUGGCUCGGCUCUCCCGCGCUGGCACAUCCUGUCAAUUCAGGUGCGGUUGUUUAACUUUAACUUGGGGCAAACUAAACAGCAUUUAGGAAACUAGACAAUUUAUUUAGACAAAUUUACUAGCUAGCAUUGAACCCCAUGCUGAGUCUCACAGCUAUAGUGUCAACCAGUGUGCCCUGGUAGUGUAAUGACACUACACAAUAUAUUAUUGAUUUGUCAUGUUAUAUGGUGUGGCCAUUUUUAAAACAAAUAUGGCCUUUCAUAAUAGCUCAUGUCUAUGACAUAUAAAUAACCCUGAUCUACUAUGAAUAAAUAUAUUACAAACUUCCAAACAGCAGCUAUAAUGACCAACAAAAUACUGAAUUCUUCCCAUUUCUAUUUCUGGGCGGCCAUCUUUUAAAAUGGUUGAAAUCUGCUUAGCCAAAGGUUGAUUCUAAAAUAUGGUCAUAUAAAGGUCAUAUGUACCAAAUUAUAUGGUUGUAUCACCAUUUUGAUCAUCCUUUCAAAAAUCAAUUUAGAGUGUGACUAGGCCGCCAUAUUGGAUAUUUGCUGCCAUAUUGGAACCUAAUAUGUUGUUUUUAAUUGGUAUAAAUACCUAAAACAUAUUAUAUUAUUUCAAAGGUAGGGUAAAUGUAUGAUUUAUAGCUGCAGCAGAG
Non-coding RNA from Xyrichtys novacula (pearly razorfish), 1394 nucleotides. The record is from the annotation of a GenBank genome assembly. NCBI's taxonomy places the organism in Eukaryota, Metazoa, Chordata, Actinopteri, Labriformes, Labridae.